ACUAUAGUAGCUCAGUGGUAAGAGCGUGGCGGGUAUCCGCUGAGGGCGCCGGUUCAAUCCCUGCCUAAGCA
Phanerochaete carnosa HHB-10118-sp is the source of this 71-nucleotide non-coding RNA. NCBI's taxonomy places the organism in Eukaryota, Fungi, Basidiomycota, Agaricomycetes, Polyporales, Phanerochaetaceae. The record is from the annotation of a RefSeq genome assembly.